This is a long non-coding RNA of Cataglyphis hispanica, 1258 nucleotides long. RefSeq lists it as uncharacterized. The transcript is spliced from 4 exons. Lineage: Eukaryota; Metazoa; Arthropoda; Insecta; Hymenoptera; Formicidae. The record is from RefSeq and is a predicted model, not a curated record.
UUUUACCAUGUAAACCAAUAGUGAAAUCUUGUAUGUUAUGAGGAAGUGGAUAUCGAUCAGGAAUAGUGGCUGCGUUCAAAGCUCGAUAAUUUCCAUAAAGUCUCCAUGAAUUCUGUCCAUUUUUGGGAACAAUAUGAAGUGGAGUUGCCCAUGUACUGCUUGACGGUCGACAAAUUCCUUGUUCUAUCAUAAGGCUGAAUUCAUCCCUUGCAAAUUUCAAUUUUUCUGGAGACAGUCUACGAUGUGUCGAAGCAAUCGGAGGACCUUUAGUAAUAAUAUGAUGUUCUACAUGGUGAAUUUGGUUGUAAAAAUAGGAGCAAAACGAGUUAAUUCAGGGAAAUCAGCGAGAAUCUUAUAAAAAGGAAUCAAAGAAAUGUCAGCUCCUGUAUCGAUUAAAAAAUUAAGUCUUGAGGACUUGUCAAAAAUAAUGAAACGAUUGGUAGGUGAACUGUUGUCAGCCGCCUCACAACUCAAUGGUAGAGUUAGUUUUCCUGAUUAUCAAUUAGAGAUCUAGACAUGUCACAAGAUCUACUACGUGAGCGUUUAAUUUCAAGUGCAGUAAUUCUACAUUCGAGAUCUGUCAAAUUUGAAGUAUUUUCCUUAACUGGGGAAGCUAUUGAUGCUACUUGCAAGCUAGUUUCGCGAUCCAUAAUUUUAUCGGCUAGUUCAGCGAGAUUAAUUAAAGGACAAUCUUCAACAACAGCUAAAGUAGCUUGAACUUGGAAAGGUGGAUUUUCGAUUAUCUCCGCAAUUGCUAAUUACGCUUGCUCAUCAAGAUGCCGAACAACUGAGCUAUAUUUAAUAUCGUCUGAGCGAAUUCGAAAGAUUGUAAAUUCACUCUCUAAUCGAACAAACCACAAUUUAGGAUUCUUAUGCCAAAAAUUCGAUAAUUUCAAAAGACGAAAUUCAUUUGAAUGGAUCUCGUUUGACUUUGUUGAUGAGGCUCACUACCGGUAUAACGAAGAGAUUCCAAAUUAUUUGUUACGUAUUGCUGGAAUUCUUCUGAUGGAAUUGACGCUGAAGUUCCUGAAGUAGCAAUCGGAGAUUUGUCUUCGUAGGCAUCGUAGAUUUUUUUUGAUAUGAAAAUCCGAGUCGGUGGUUUAAAUUCACCCGUGCGGGUACACAAAAUAUUUUCACAAUCUUGUAUCACAUCGGCUGAUCACGUCGGGGUCACCAGUUGUGGCGCGGAUUCAAUAAAUAACUAGACUUCGUAACGUUUGAUAAAGUUUAAUAAGAUAAGUUUGAACGAUGCGUACAA